RNAcentral lists this long non-coding RNA (1308 nucleotides) under Sarcophilus harrisii (Tasmanian devil). RNAcentral describes it as "lncRNA (ENSSHAG00000021939.1)". Lineage: Eukaryota; Metazoa; Chordata; Mammalia; Dasyuromorphia; Dasyuridae. The record is from RNAcentral.
AAAAACAAUAGCAAGCACUUUUGUAGCACAUUAAGGUAUCAGGGUUACAGAGCCAUUUAGUGUCAGAGGUGAAUUCAGGUUUUCUUGACUACAGGUCCGGCACUCUGUUCACUGCUACCUAACGGCCUCUAUUUCGCUCUUAAUUUCAGUUCCAAACAUUGCCAUGAAAGUUACAUUUUCUGCUAAAGUAUUAGUCAAAAGCGAAAGGAAACCUUCUGAUCUCUCUUUCUUUGGGCGUCUCAACCGUUCUUUUCCGGUCUCAGCACAGAUAAUGGUGGAAGAUGGCCGUCGAAAACUGGGAUUUGACUCUUGGAAAAGGGCGAGACAAGGAAAGAAAGAGGGCGGGGCAAAAAGUCCCCUGAUUGACGGAGAGUUUAGAUGGUGUUAAUUAGUAUCUCCUUACUUUUCCCUUCCUGAUUUCCAAUUCCACUGAGAUAAGUGAAAUAACUAAGUUUUGGGUUCAAAGCCAGCAUAACCGAAGCCAUAAGUCACCCCUUGGAAUACGAUGCCGAGGAGAAGCCAUUGCUUUGCAGUCAUAUACUUGGAAAAAAAGGGCCCCGAAAAUAUGGAAAGGGGGAUUCUGGGAGCCGUAGUUCGAAGGCUUUUUGUGGUUAACGACAUCCCUGAUCCCCUGGGAGCGGAGUGCGCGCGCCCUGUUGUGGGUCCCAAGGAUGCUUUGCUUUGGACCGGCUUUUGUUGCGUUCGGACUUGGGUCCUAUAUUCAAGCAUCUGGGGGCGGGAAUAUGAGCGAGGACAGAUCUUUGCAGCUUUGGGGAAUGGUUUUCUUUUGAGGCUGCUGAUGGAAUGAUAAGAACUGGCCUCGGGAUUCUUUUUGCCUUUCUCUGUACGUCCUGCUUCCGCUGCUGCCUGGCUCCUCUAAGCGUUGUUGGCAGAUUGAUUUGAGAAAAUCUGUUUCUCUCUAUAUCGGUAAAUUUGUGUAUUGAUGUCACGAAGCGGGCAUGCUGGCUCCAAGAAAAACUUUCGAAGUUCAAUCUGCAAGUAUUGAUAUUUUCUCCACAUAUUUUUUGAGUUUAGAUAAUCCAUGACAUAGACCCUGCUUUUGUGGCAUUUGCUAAUUGCAGAAGUGUAAAUAUUUACACUAAAAUUUUAAUAAUCAUCUCUAUUUGGCAGCCCUUGUGUUCUGGCACACAAAGAAAGGCAAAACAAACAAACCAAAAUAAAUAAACCCAUCCCCGCUUUGAAAGACCUGAAAGUCUAAAGAAUUGUAUCUGACAGUUUUGUAUGCUACUACUCUUGUGCAACAUUUAUAUGCCCAGUACCUCUCCACAUUUUUUUGCAUGAUUCUAG